ACGAACGCUGGCGGCGUGCUUCACCCCUGCCAGUCGCACGGAAAGGCCCUGCUUUUGUGGGGUGCUCGGGUGGCGAACGGGUGAGUAACACGUGAGUAACCUGCCCUUGACUUUGGGAUAACUUCAGGAAACUGGGGCUAAUACCGGAUAGGAGCUCCUGCUGCAUGGUGGGGGUUGGAAAGUUUCGGCGGUUGGGGAUGGACUCGCGGCUUAUCAGCUUGUUGGUGGGGUAGUGGCUUACCAAGGCUUUGACGGGUAGCCGGCCUGAGAGGGUGACCGGCCACAUUGGGACUGAGAUACGGCCCAGACUCCUACGGGAGGCAGCAGUGGGGAAUAUUGCACAAUGGGCGGAAGCCUGAUGCAGCAACGCCGCGUGCGGGAUGACGGCCUUCGGGUUGUAAACCGCUUUCGCCUGUGACGAAGCGUGAGUGACGGUAAUGGGUAAAGAAGCACCGGCUAACUACGUG
Molecule: ribosomal RNA, 467 nt
Filed under: uncultured bacterium
Lineage: Bacteria
Description: partial 16S ribosomal RNA
Rfam family: Bacterial small subunit ribosomal RNA
Source: RNAcentral